GAAAAGCUGAAGAAGCUUCUUACCAAUUUUAUAUCCCAGGAAUGUUUUCCUUUGGAUAAAGACUAUCACAGAGGACCACCCCAGUGACCACAUGCAUUUAGGAAGAAAUAGGUGUGACAGAUGGACCCAUCAAGUCCUCUUCCUUGUGGACUAGUUAUCUUUCCUCUUGAGGAAAUGUAUAGAAUGGGUUGUAUCUGCUUGGCGACAUAGAAGAGUAAGGUUUCUUUUUGACUUUGCUUUUUCUUCAGUUGCUUGCCUGGGAUGUACAUCAUAGUCCAGUUUAAUGCUUAUUCAGUAAUAAAACUUUGUUCUUUCCUAUAUGAUAAUGUUGAAUACUACCUGAGCCCUGUGAUCCGGGGCAACAGUGAAGGUUAGGCAGUCCACCGCUUCUGUGUUCCAGGAAACAGCUUGCCUCAAAGAUCCAUUCUCCGUAUGAGUUAGAGUGACAGACUGAAAGUAUUAGGAAAGCCACAAGUCAACUAUCUCUGAAGCCCAACAACUUUCCAAAGAAACACCUACUCAGUGCAGUGAUAGCCUGUUCCAGAUCAUAAAAUAAGAGGGAAGAGUAUCUCUUACUCUUAAACCUGACACACAGCAAUAAAAGAGUUCUGGUCCAAGAAGGCGCUGUAUGAAGACCCUGAACUCACCUCCUCCAUGGAGAUACCAAAGCUACACCUAUUUAUAGCAGAACGAAGGGCUGACUGAACAGCUUCUGCACAACAAAAGACAGACCAUGAAAAGAAUGGCAAGAAAGAUGAAAAGACGCCUUGUCAGAUUGGUAUGGGAAGGAACUGUGGACAUUCUAAGUGACCUUUCUCAAACCUCCAGGACUUUACUCUUUCUGGUCUCCCCGUGGGCUCUCGCGCCCCACAGGAUCUCAGAGCAUGGAGGCUCUCUGUCUGGCACCUGGUGGUACUCGGGGUACUUUUCCUGCACCAAAUCUCUGGUCAUGAGCUUCCUGGGCUCCCACAGAUGAAAUGCUUCCUCCCGGCCUGCAUCGCCAUUAUAUUCAGGAAUUCUGAGAUCUCCUCAGCGGAGCAGUUGCCCUUCAUGAAGGUCACACCCAGGAGAGUCAUCUGGAGCCCAGUCUCGGGCAAUUGCUGCCACCAUUCAAGCUGCCAUCGCUAGUGAUGUCCAGUUUGCUGGUAAGGCCAUAGAAAUGCUCGGUAGAGUACACUUCUUUGAAGUUAAGGCAAAAGACUAGCUCCCAAGUGUUCAGAGGCAUUCCAGAAGGUCACAAGGAAGAGCUCCUUGUACUCUUUUCAGCAUGUCUGCCUUCGUAACGAGUGUUCAUUUUAUAUUUGAGCAAAAAGAACUGUACCAACAAAGUUACCUUCUUGAUGAGAAAGUCUCAGCAUGAAUAUCUACCAGUUAUGUGUGUCUGUGAGUAUGCGUGCAUAUCUAUAUACAAAAGUUUGCUGGAAAAAAAAAAAAACUAGCCUUACUAAGUGUGAUUUACUGUGAUGUUUGCUAAUUCUCACCCAUACACUAUAUUAAAAUAAUUAAUAAUAAAGGCUGUACUUA
Non-coding RNA from Leptonychotes weddellii (Weddell seal), 1524 nucleotides. NCBI's taxonomy places the organism in Eukaryota, Metazoa, Chordata, Mammalia, Carnivora, Phocidae. The record is from RefSeq and is a predicted model, not a curated record.